CCAGAGCUCCCCAAUCCAGUGGCGUAUCAGAUGCAGCACGCUCUGCAUGCGCGUCUAUUUGUAUGAAGUCACACCAACGUCAUAACGGUGCGACUCUUAUUGCCGAAUCUAUUGGUUCGCAAGAACAGAGGCACUGGAGUUCUGCAUUUGGCAGAACUCGCGUCUUUAGGUGCUCUAAAGUGAUGCUGACCAAUUGUAUUAGUUCC
Molecule: non-coding RNA, 206 nt
Organism: Pelobates cultripes (western spadefoot toad)
Lineage: Eukaryota; Metazoa; Chordata; Amphibia; Anura; Pelobatidae
Source: the annotation of a GenBank genome assembly